UCCGAUAAAUCAAAUUCAAGUAUAGUACAUUUUCCUAAAGGAAAUUUUGUUUAAUUGGUGCAUUAGAAAGGUCAGUUUUGAUUUACCAAGGGUAGAGUUUGGAUAUAUCCUGAUUUGGCGGGACAUUCAUGAUUUUUAAUAUACUUGUUCCAUGCCCCGCGUAAAUUACUGGCGGAUGCGUAUGACACGAUUUGUAUACGUUUUUUUUUA
Non-coding RNA from Cinara cedri, 210 nucleotides. Lineage: Eukaryota; Metazoa; Arthropoda; Insecta; Hemiptera; Aphididae. The record is from the annotation of a GenBank genome assembly.